UUGAGAUUCACAGGCAGCUUAUCAAGAGCACGCAGCAAGAUCAAAAGAAAAUCGUCCACUGAUCUACCAUUGUCUUUGGGACUGCUCCCAUCCCCAAUUUUCCCUUUAUGAAUUUCCUGUAGCCACUCAUCAAAAACAGGUAAUCCCCUCAGCUGGACAAAACGACUGAGGCAAUCAAACUUGUCUGUUGCUGCUACAACACUUGCAAGAAUGGAUCGCCCAAUCAAAUCUGUUUUCUUCUCGUUCUUCUCGGGCAGCAUGAGCUGUACCAAUUUCUCAACCCCUUCAGAAUCCACUAGCCUCCCUCUCUCAGUAAUUUUUGCAAUCUCAGAUUUCAAACUGCUUUCUGUUCUUACAAAACCAGAACCACCAUCAUCAAUCCGACUUGGGCGUUCUCUUUUCACAGAUUCAGAACCCUGAUCACCACGCUCUCUCUUCCUUCCUUUACCCUGUGAAGAAGAAGAGCUGCUGUUCUGCAUACCUUCUGUUCCCGUUUUCGCUUGAGAUGUUGUCGGACUAUUCGUUGACUUAGGAGAACGACCACCCUGCUGUAAUGUCAUCUUGGAACGAGUCUUACGCAAUAAGUUAUCUACUUCUUGUUGACGUUCCUGCAUAAAGAAAAACAGUUGUCAAAACCAGAGAAGAAACAGAAUUGGAUAAUAAUGAUUAUGAUCUCACUCACUCACAUCGAUAUAAUCUUGAUCAGUGAGCCACCAAAUAGACUCGUUCAUAACAUCAUAAACCCUCCAGCAAACAAACGAAGAGAUUCCAGAUGGGAGUUCAACGCCUUUGGGAAGAAAGGUAACUUUACACGGAUGAAGCAAAGACGCAGCAGGUAUCUCAUCCUCGUGAAAGGAAUAAAAUAUCUCGUUAGGCUGAGCCUCCAAAAGGACGCCCUUGCCAAGCUUCAACUCACCGGGUCGGUAGAGCCAAUUCACACGCAGCUUAAAGUUGCCUUCUUUUUCAGGAAGAAGCAAACGGAUCAAACCAAUGAACGGUGGACAAUCCUGAGGCGGCUUAAACAGAGCACAGUCACCAACACUAAUCCUCCUCCCGUCCUGCAAAAAAAGAUCAAAACUUUUAAAUCCAAUUGAACCAAUCUCGACUUUAAAACCCAAUUGAAUGAAUAUUUGACAAAUCAAGCACUAAUCGUUACCUUAGAGAAGGAAGAAGGUGAAGAGAGAGAUACAGACGAAGAACCAGAAGCCUCCAAGCUUGAAAUUAGACGCGAAGGAGGUCUAAACAUAAGCCGACGAUGACCUUUCUUCCUAUCCUCAGAAAGCCCCCUCCCAUGCAUAGACGACGUCUCUCAUUUUUUUUUUUACCCCUUUUCAAAAUACACAAUUCGAUUCGAUUGAAAACCCUAAUUAAGCGAAGAAGAAGAAGAAGGAGAUACGAUUACGAUUCCAGUACCUGAUCCGCGAAUAUCUAACCACGAGAAGAACGAUUAAUCCGUAGAGAGCCGGAGACCGAAGAACGCGAAUCGAAAGCCGCCUUUGAUUUUUUUUUUCUUUUCGAUCCAGCGAGCGAGAGAAAGAGAGAGAGAGAGAGUUUUUUUUUUUUUUAUCAACAAGAAGAAAAAAAAUAGAAUCGAGAGAGAAAGGGGAUUACUACUUUGGAAGAAGUCGGGCAGUUCGGGCAUGAGUUUCGGGCAGCGUUUUGUUUAUUUUUUUACUUUUUUCAGGUGACAUUUGAGAGAUUUUGGAUGGUUUUUUCACCCUUUUUAAUAGCUCUUUUGACUUUCUUUUCUUUUCUUAAAUUAAAAACAUAACAAAAUCCGUGAUUUGUUAAAAUUUUAUUUAGAUUUAAACAAAAAAAAAAAUCUAAAGUUUUAUGAGAACAAAGAUAAGAUCAUUCCAAUCCUCUUUUUUUUAGAAAUAGAAAAUUUAUAAAAUAAAUCUGAGUUUCUUUCAAAUAUUUUUUAAAUAGAUAAAUAUUACCCAUUUUCUUUUGGCGAACUCCAAAAACAGCGGCUGCUACAGAAAAUUUGAACUAUCACCACGGCAAAACACAUCAUAGCAUAGCACUCAUGAAACAACGCCAACCUGCUUUUCUUGACGUUGCGGCUGAUUGCGAGGGGGUGAAAGGAACGCUGAUUUUUUUCAGCGUCAACUGCUUUCCUUAUUUUGUAUUUCGAGCGGUUUACGAGUAACCAUUUUAAUUCUUCGUGCGGUCAAAUUUGCUUCCGUUGUACCUGUAAUUUUUUGUCGCAACGGUGGUUUUGAUGUUCACCAAAAGAACGAGGGUAUUAUAUUAUCCACCAUUUAUAGAAAAAAUAAUAAUAUUUUAUAUAAACAGAGAGAAAUAUAACAUUUCUAUAUUUCAGUGGAACAUAUUAAAAAAAAAUGUGAGUUUCACUCCAAUGUUUUGUUUGAAAUAGAUAAAUUUUAUACUAUCCAACAUUUAUAGAAGAAAAUAUAGUAUUUCUCUGUAAAUCAAGAGAAAUGUAACAUUCUUAUUAUGCAUAUGAAUAUUCCUAUGUUUUAGCGGACAAAAAUAGAAGAGAAUUGGUUUUUUUGUUAGUAAAUAUGUAUAUUUUUAUAGCAAUUUAUUUUUUUUAAAUAAUACUAAUUAAUAAAGUGUAUGUUAAAGUUUGCAAAAACCGAUCAAUUUAUAUAAUAAUACAAUUGUGAGUUGUUCCGGUUAUUCUGGCCGAUUCCGGUUCGAAUGCCCUGACCUACCCCCGACAAUAAAUAAUUUUAUUAUGUUAGUAAUGUGAAUGCUUGUCGUUACAUUGUCCAGUGUCAAAUCACUAUCAACAAAGUACAAGUGACCAAUCAUUUGUCUCUCUUGACACAAACAUUUAACUUUUCACAAUGAGAUCUUAAUACACUACAGAAGCCAUUUGAGCGAGUCGAUUGUCUUCUUCACCCACCGAUUGCUCCUAGACAUGUUCUUCACGGAGCACAGAAUAUGCAAGUAGCAAUCAAGGUUUCCUAAUUUUGAACCGAAGAGACGAGAAGAAGAAAAGAGAUCAGAAAAUGAAGCAUAUAUAGUCGCCUAAACACAUGCCUUCAUCGAAAUUUAAUGUUUUGUAUCUUUAAUGAAACUCAUCGAACUCAUGACUAAAUUGGCUCUUGUGCCACAUCGUUGCUUACAAGCGUUGUAACAUCAUGCAAGAGUAGCCAUUAUGCACUGCUUUUGGGAGUUACGCAACUGCCGAAUACCUCAACCAGACUUGAGCUGACAGCAUCAUGAUGAACCAGAGGCACAAUCAUCAGAACACAACACACGUAUUCUUCAAUUCUUAAGCCACAAGUGUAUUUAUUGCCAUUGAGAGUGUUCUGCAUGUUUUGUUCUAUGCCUUAAACCAAAAUGUAAUGAGGUAUACGAGUAUUCGAUUAGCUUGCUAAUCAUUGUGAUUUUGAGUUACAUAAUCAUAUGAUCUGGAAGUUGUAAACUACUUUUUCUCCAUUUUAAGAGUCUUUGAACUAAUUCUUGACGUUUCUUGUUUUCAACGAAUUUAUAUUUGGGGUUGAUAAACUAGUAUUAAUGGGCCGGAUAGCCGGAUCUUACGAAAUUUGAAUGGCCCAGAUAGACCAGUCUUACCAAACAUGGCCUGCUCCGGCUCAAAACAAAAGUACCUUUCUCUGUUUUUCUUGUUUUCUAUAUCAAAAGCACCUUUCGGUUAGACAGGUUAAAGAUAUGUACUUUUAUUACUCAGACCGACGUUUCCUUAGCUUAAAAAGAAAAUAGUUAGCUUUUUUGUAACCAUAGAAGGUCAAAAGAUAUAGCUAUACAUCACGUCAUAAAUUACAUGAUUACAAUACAACUUUUUUUAUUUGGUAUGGGGAAGAGAACAGAGAAAGACUGGAGCAGGCUGGCUCGUACCUCUAAACCAACCAUGAGCCAGCGUCUGUCGACAUCCUAAUUAGAAUUAUCAAAACUAUAGUACUAUACAUUAAGAACUGUACAUUUGUGUAAAACACUUAGCAGCAUAUUUACCGGAUUAAUUAUCACAAACGACUAUAGAAAACCAUAUUUACAACAAACAUCUACCAGUAAAACUAAAAAAAACAUCAACAAUGGGACCCAUGUUUACAACAAACAUACCAGUAAGACUAAAAAAAACAUCAACAAUGGUAUAGUGUUGAUGGUUCUAUAAUCUGUCAAAACUAGGAUUAAAUAUUCAAAAUUGAUAAAACUUCUAAAUCCAAAUAAACUAAUUCGACAAACCGUAUAAUCUUAUAUGAUAAAUCUGUGUAAAUUUUUCAUACUAUAAAAGUAUAAAACAUGGACUCUCAAUUUUUUGUUUAGUAUAAUAUUUUAGUUAGUUUACUUAUAUAUAUAUAUAUAAAAAUUAACAUAUAAAAUGAUAACGUUUACAUUUUUCAGUAUCGCUUCUUUUUUUCACAAACAUUUUACAGUAUUGCUAGUUUAAAAUUUGACUGCGAUGCUGAAAUGAAAAUGUUUAUUAGUAUCAGUUACCACUUCGUUUUAGGCAUUAUUUGGAUGAUAUUGUAAAUCUAAAAAUAUUAUGGGGUAAAAAGCAGAGGCACAUGAGAGUUAGGGGUAUUGUGUAGUUUCCAAAAAGCAAGCUUCUCUCGUCCUCCCAUGUGCUUCCUCUCCCACUGUCCCCCCUUUUUCCUUUUUCGAUUAAAUCCAAAUUAGUUAAUUUCUAUUUCAUCCUUUUCUUUUGUCGGCUUUUAAUUUCUUAUCACACUUGUUGUUUUAUAUUCUUUUUCUUUUGUCAAAAGUUUUUUUUUUCUAUUCUCUAUCACGCUUUCUACACCUAUUUUGACUGGGUUCACAUUCACAAUAAUAAUAAUAAUAAUAAUAAUAAUAAUAAUAGAAACUCAGAAUGUUUGCAUCAGUUUCAACAGUGACAACUUGUGAGUGUCCAAUCUCAAUGAUUAUGUGGUCAUGCUCCAUAAUAUUAUUAUGAAAAGUCCCUCUCAUUGGCUUAAAUGCUUUCUUUGUUUUAAGUACUGCUAAAUUACUUAAUUCACUAAUUAGUGAUUUAAUUACUAUACUUGUAUAAUGUUUCAAGCCAGAUUCUCAAUCACGUGCAAAAUUCCUUACAAAACAAUAUAGCUGCUUAGCCAUCAACUAAUUACGGAGUUUACAUAUCCAUAUACCUGUCGGAUAUUCAAAUUAGUUAGUACAUUCUUGACCAAAUUUUAAAAAAAUUAAUUAGUACAUUUAUAUGACUGACGUAAAUGAAUGCAUAUCUCAUUUCAAGAUUUCAGUGUUGUGUUUGCCUUAAAGGCUCGCGUGGAUAAAAGAAAAUUUCAUGAGAUUUUGAAUGUACAAACAUGUAACUGUUACGAUACAACACUUAUUAAUUUCAUUGUCCAUGCAUACGUAAAACGUGACUAGUUUUAUGUUUACUGUUUAUUUGCGUGGUUUUCGUUCAUACAUUGCAAAUUGUCGGCAAGAUAUAUCAAGUUGGGUCACUACAGACUACAGUUGUGAUAGUUAUUACCAUAAAUUAAUUUGAAAACGAUGCAUCAAUUGUUUUGACAAAACGUUGAGUUAAUGCUUAAUUAGUAGAACAAACAACAAUAGUUGUAGUGAAGAAAAUAUAAAUAACACGCAUCUCUUAUGAAUAGUAGUAACAUAUUGAUCUUAAUAAAGUUGUACUUGUUGAGAUAUUUACUUAACUAAUUAACCGGUUUAUCUCAGUUGACUAAUUAACCUUAACACACUUCUUAUUGUUGUUUGAGUUUGUUAAAGACACACAAGAUUUGGUUACCCAGUUCCCUUUUGGUACAUCUGGAGAGAGGACGACACUCUCAACGAUUCACUAGCAUCAAGUGUAUACAAUAGCUUUCUACACAACCACCUCAGUGUUUCUCUAUCAAUAUCACCUUUGGUUUAUCUUCCACCUGAGCACCACCAACAGCACCCAAGUGUGAAUCUUCAGCAGUCAAAGAAUCCUCAUUUUGACUUUUGCCAACGGUUUUACAUUUACGUAAGGCAGAGUUUCCUGUCCUCAUCACUGUAUCUGCCACUCCAUCUGUCUCUGAUAUCUCUUCAGUCUUUACGUCAGCAACUACCCGACUAUCACCAUCAUCAGAAAUGUUUCCCCUAAUGCCUGAUGUGUGCCCAGCGGUUGGGGCAAUAUCAUCUGAAUUUUCAUUGCUUUCUAGGCACUGAUCCACCAAUCUUUGCAACUCUUCCAUUUCUGAAUCAGAGGGCUUAGAAUCAUUCACAUUCACUACAGAGGCCAACUGGUCGCCAAUACUACUGACAUGUUCAACAAUGGUGGGAUCCUUGGCAAGAGCUUCAGCUUGCUCGUUAGGCAAACCUGUUAUAUGGUUCUCUGAAAUAUCAUUCAUCAAGGAAUCUGAAACCAGGGAUACCGCGGGUGAUGCAACAGGGGAUUUGGAAAUUUCAUCAGCAGCAGCAGAAGCUAGAAGAUUCAUUCCAACGUCAUCCACACCAGCCUCACAUGCAUUUGCCUCAGAGUCCCUGACACAACUUUCAAUCAAGGCAUUCAUUGAGCUGUGUGAUCCACUAUCCCCUUUUCCAGGUUUGACAACAUCUCCUAAGGUAGGAGACGUGGGUUUGAUAAUAUCUUCUAUUUUACUAGACCCAUCAACGCUAAAAUUAGGUCGAUUUGUAUCAUUGUUCUCUGAAGGAACAGGUGAUGGAGCCCUGCUACUACCAGCUGCAUGAUCCUCAAAGGAACCUCCACUAAAACUCUGUGCCGGACUGCGACCACGUUUUGGCAGCUUAACAAUUAACUUGUUACUGCAACCUUCAGCCAUAGGUAUGUCAGGAGUCUUUUCAGUUGCUGUUCUUUGUGAUGAGAAGCUCCUGCUCAGCCCAACUUCCCUAUGGACUGCACCAGUAUCUCUUUGUUGCCCAUCAUUAACGACAGCUACACCUGUUCCAAGUGAUGGUGCUGAUCUAGUAGAACUUGGAGAUGUGGUUGCAGACUUCAUGUUGUUAUCUGACGGUAUUAUGACAGACACGGACUUAGAAGGAUGUUGAUGAGAUGCUGAUGUCCUGGCUGCAUCAGCAGAUACACCUGAAUGUCUACCGCCAUGAGAAACUUCAGACUGACGAUAUCUUCCAGGCCAAGAUGCACCCUGAUUAGAUCCCGACUUGGCAUCCAUUUCUGCCUCAACACGUUUCUUCCAUGUAUCAACCAAGCUCCUUGCCUUUUUCCCGAUUUCCGAGUUCUUAUGUGAUCGCAAAUGGUUAACAGACUUUCCAAUGUUGCAAGUCUGAAGAGCAUUGAGAUUCACAGGCAGCUUGUCAAGAGCACGCAGCAAGAUCAAAAGAAAAUCGUCCACUGAUCUACCAUUGUCUUUGGGACUGCUCCCAUCCCCAAUUUUCCCUUUAUGAAUUUCCUGUAGCCACUCAUCAAAAACAGGUAAUCCCCUCAGCUGGACAAAACGACUGAGGCAAUCAAACUUGUCUGUUGCUGCUACAACACUUGCAAGAAUGGAUCGCCCAAUCAAAUCUGUUUUCUUCUCGUUCUUCUCGGGCAGCAUGAGCUGUACCAAU
RNAcentral lists this long non-coding RNA (7458 nucleotides) under Brassica napus (rape). Its description in RNAcentral is "long non-coding RNA (BNAP_LNC016787)". The record is from RNAcentral. Lineage: Eukaryota; Viridiplantae; Streptophyta; Magnoliopsida; Brassicales; Brassicaceae.